UGCCAGUAUCCUGGUGUGUGGUCA
RNAcentral lists this non-coding RNA (24 nucleotides) under Rattus norvegicus (Norway rat). The record is from RNAcentral. Lineage: Eukaryota; Metazoa; Chordata; Mammalia; Rodentia; Muridae.